GCCCUUCCUAACUUCUCUGCCCAUUCUUGAAGUUGAAGGAGUUGCUUAAACAAGUCCAGCUAGAGAGAGAUGAAUAUGCUCAACACAUAAAAGGAGAGAGGGCCUGGUGGCAGCAGAGGAUGAGGAAAAUGUCACAGGAGGUGAGAUCUGACCCUUCAGCCCCCUACCUUCGAUAGGUCACUGGAUCUUUCUGGGCAUCUGUAAAAUGAAAAUAGUACAGCCAGAGGUGGUCAUGGGCUUUGUGGAGGUGGGAGCAGAGAGGGAGAUGGCAGCCUGUCCAGCCACCAGCCCCUCUCUCCAGGGCCCUUUGCCCCCGUGCUUUGGGCAGGUUUGCACAUUGAAGAAGGAGAAGAAGCAUGAUACACGUCGGGUAGAGAAGCUGGAGAGGAGCUUGUCCAAACAAAAACCAGAGGGGUAAGAUGGGGCUGGCAUGACCUGGGAGCAGGCCUGGCAUCAGACAGCCCUGGGGGUGGCUUAGAGUGCCCCAGGGAGGUGAGUGGAUGGAAGGGCUUUGAGGCAGAGGGAAAGGGGUCUGUGCCAGGAGAUAGCAAGUCUUGUCGUCUCCAUGAGCCUCAGUGUCCCCAUCAGCAAAGGGGGCCCAUUGUCAGCCACCCACAGUGCUCUCUAUCUGAAAGUGGUUCAGAAGAUUGCCUACCAUCUGAGUCCGAGGAAUUAUUAGCAGUAAGGCCAAGUUUGGGGAGCCUGAGAGGAGCUGUGCACUAAGAGGAGGGUUUUUUGUUUUGUUUUUUUUUUGAGAAUCCAGAGGGCCUUAUUGCCUGCUUCCUUUCUCAGCUGAACCCCUGCCUCUGGAGCCUCCAGCAGUGCCCUCUGAGGUGGAGCUGCAGCAUCUGAGGAAGGAAGUUGAGAGAAUGGCAGGAGAACUCCAAGCCCAGGUGGACAACAAUCAGCGCAUGAGUGUCCUGAUCUGGGGGCAAAAGGAGAGACUUCAGCAGCAGGAGGAGAGGCUUCAGCAGCUGGCCGAGCCACAGAGUGGCUUCGAGAAGCUGGCACCUGUGAGCCAGAGCCCUGCUCUGGAGGCUGUGGAGAGAGGGGAUGAUUUUUCUCACCUGCCUCCAUCCUUCCUGGUGCCAUGGGAGGCAGACACCAAGUUCUUGGUUCUCCAGCUGCAGUGGGUGGCUGCUGAUUGCUUCUGUCUGUCCAGAACAAUGAGAACAAGAGCGCACUGCAGUUGGAGCAGCAGGAGCGCCUGGAAACCUCCAGCCAGCAGAACCAGCCCCUACAGGCCCAGCUGAGCCUCAUGGUUCUUCCUGGGGAAGGUACGGGAACCUGCUCAGAGGAAGAGGAGAGAGCCCCAGGAGGAAGGGGGCACUGUUAGCAGUGCAGGAUUGAGGAGUUGGAAGAGACCUUUAGAACAGCUGGUCCUUAUGCCGACUGGGUGCCUGCACUAAGUUCGGCAUCAAUAUGGUGACUUCCUGGGAGUGGGGUCCACCAAGUUGCCUAAGGAUGGCUGAACUGGCCCAGGUCAGAAAUGGAGCAGGUCAGAACUCCAGCACUGACCGGUAGUGGGACUGUGCCUGGGCAGUAUAGCAAGAU
RNAcentral lists this long non-coding RNA (1554 nucleotides) under Macaca fascicularis (crab-eating macaque). RNAcentral's name for it is "lncRNA (ENSMFAG00000054089.1)". The stretch from base 1387 to 1542 matches the Rfam family "Metazoan signal recognition particle RNA", at positions 96 to 252 of the family's 299-position model. Lineage: Eukaryota; Metazoa; Chordata; Mammalia; Primates; Cercopithecidae. The record is from RNAcentral.